ACCAUCAGCACUUUGGCGAUGUAUGGGAUCAGCGGCAGGUUCAACACCAACAGCACCAAGUUCCCGAUGAACAUCGACAUGAUCACGGCCCAAAACACCUGUGGCUCAUCCACCAUCAGACGCGGGCC
The sequence is a non-coding RNA, 128 nucleotides long. It matches the Rfam family "Ruegeria cis8 sRNA". From Rfam's summary of the family: Cis-encoded. Targets hypothetical protein. Higher sRNA expression during C-limited growth.